RNAcentral lists this ribosomal RNA (497 nucleotides) under uncultured bacterium. RNAcentral describes it as "partial 16S ribosomal RNA". It matches the Rfam family "Bacterial small subunit ribosomal RNA", at positions 28 to 507 of the family's 1533-position model. The record is from RNAcentral.
GAUGAACGCUGGCGGCGUGCCUAAUACAUGCAAGUCGAGCGAACAGACGAGGAGCUUGCUCCUUUGACGUUAGCGGCGGACGGGUGAGUAACACGUAGGUAACCUACCUAUAAGACUGGGAUAACUUCGGGAAACCGGAGCUAAUACCGGAUAAUAUUUCGAACCGCAUGGUUCGAUAGUGAAAGAUGGCUUUGCUAUCACUUAUAGAUGGACCUGCGCCGUAUUAGCUAGUUCGUAAGGUAACGGCUUACCAAGGCAACGAUACGUAGCCGACCUGAGAGGGUGAUCGGCCACACUGGAACUGAGACACGGUCCAGACUCCUACGGGAGGCAGCAGUAGGGAAUCUUCCGCAAUGGGCGAAAGCCUGACGGAGCAACGCCGCGUGAGUGAUGAAGGUCUUCGGAUCGUAAAACUCUGUUAUUAGGGAAGAACAAACGUGUAAGUAACUGUGCACGUCUUGACGGUACCUAAUCAGAAAGCCACGGCUAACUACGUG